Molecule: long non-coding RNA, 225 nt
Filed under: Setaria italica (foxtail millet)
Lineage: Eukaryota; Viridiplantae; Streptophyta; Magnoliopsida; Poales; Poaceae
Description: long non-coding RNA (SITA_LNC006839)
Source: RNAcentral
AACAUAUGGGGGAGACGGAGUGCUCAGUGCUGGACGCCACCAGCCACUGCAUGCUCUCUCGGCUGCACAUGAAUUACAGGCGUGAUUGGUUGCAGAGGGUGAACGAUACAGGAUGGAGGGAUGGUACUAGCCAGCGGGAUGCCCUGAUGUACUUAGUUUGGUUGCACAUUAUCAUUAUCCUGAAUUAGUCAUGCUAUUGUUUGGUUAAGACGUCGUUUGAAGGCA